ACGCACGCUGGCGGCGUGCUUAACACAUGCAAGUCGAACGGAAAGGCCCCUUUGGGGGUACUCGAGUGGCGAACGGGUGAGUAACGCGUGAGUAACCUGCCCUUGACUUCGGGAUAACUUCAGGAAACUGGGGCUAAUACCGGAUAGGAAUCCUUGCUGCAUGGUGGGGGUUGGAAAGCUUCGGCGGUUUUGGAUGGACUCGCGGCUUAUCAGCUUGUUGGUGGGGUAGUGGCUUACCAAGGCUUUGACGGGUAGCCGGCCUGAGAGGGCGACCGGCCACAUUGGGACUGAGAUACGGCCCAGACUCCUACGGGAGGCAGCAGUGGGGAAUAUUGCACAAUGGGCGGAAGCCUGAUGCAGCAACGCCGCGUGCGGGAUGACGGCCUUCGGGUUGUAAACCGCUUUCAGCAGGGGCGAAGCUUGUGGUGACGGUACCUGCAGAAGAAGCACCGGCUAACUACGUG
This 464-nucleotide ribosomal RNA is filed under the name uncultured bacterium. RNAcentral's name for it is "partial 16S ribosomal RNA". It matches the Rfam family "Bacterial small subunit ribosomal RNA", at positions 29 to 507 of the family's 1533-position model. The record is from RNAcentral.